UCUUUUUCGAUUCUAUUGUCGCCAUAAAGAAAAGCCUCCUUUUUCAAUUCUUUGUGAAAUUAAAAAAUAAGUACAUAUGAGAAAGGAUGGUGUAAUAUCAAUAUAAUUUGCAUAAUUAAAUGUUAAGAUGAGAACGACUAAACAUUCAGUGUCUCCAAACUGGAUAAGUCUGCAUGCACACAUAGUAAGUUAAAUCCAUGUUCUCAUGGACUCUUAAAGUAAACACAAUUGUAUGCUAAUGCAGACUACUUCCAAGUAUAUAGAAUAUCUAGAAUAUAUUUGUAUAAGUGCAGCCAAGGGGAUUAAGUUUGUAGUUUAGCACUUGCUAAUGCGUCGUCCUAGCCUGUGUUCCUUCCAGGUACAUGCAUUUAUUGGGUCCAAUAAUCACCCUGGUUAUCGAUAAACGAUUAGAAACAUUGGAUUUGGGGUAUUGCAAAAAUAGUUUAAAGUUCUCACCUUUGAUACUUGAAUAAAAUUGGAAGUGACAGUCAUGAUUGUUUUUUGUGCCAAACUUCCAUUUACCAUAUUUGCUAAAAUAUAUCCCCGUAGAGUGAUCCCUACCUUCUCACCACUGAAAGAAUUUGACCAUGUAAAAGUAAUGUAAAAAGUCAUACAUAAUUCUGAAAUUGCUUACAUAAUUGAAAUAACUUACAAUAGCAAAAGGACUUGCAUCUCGCAGAUGUUUGAAGUUUGCUCUCUGCUUGUCCGUCUGUUCUUCUGUACUUCCUCAAUUGGUUUCAUCAUGGUAAGCAACCCAAUCCAUUGAUCCAUGAUUAGUAACGAAUUCAUCAAUGCCAUAUACAGGAACCGUGCAAAUUAUCUAAAUUGGUGCAGGUGAUACAUGCUGGAGAUAAUUUGAUGCACAUAUUACUUACUGGAGGUGGUGUGAUUGCUUGACGGAGCCGAUAACAGUCGAGGAGAGUCAACAGAGGAAACUGGGGCACUUGCAACUAUUGGAGGAAGGUGAUGUCCAAGUGCCGAUCGCUGGAGGAAGACGAUGACGAAGGUGGGCUCUGAAGGUGGGAUCCGACUUGUGGGGCGUGCUGAAACUGACUUGAUGCUAGCUUGUCAGCUAGUUUCAUCGCCCUGGCACCAUUGCUAACGUGAUUGCCAGAGUUCAUAAAUCACAACAUUACCUUCUCGCGGUAUCGCCUCGCCCUGAUUGCUCAAGGUAGUAGCCGCCUGCCUGGGACAACAAAUCAAUCUAAAGUUAGACUUUGUUCCCUUGGUGUUUUGGCAGCAAAAUAUCAUCAACCUCUUGGUUGUGAUGCUUUAAUUGUAAGUUACACUGCAUAUGUAGAGGCAACCUUCCAUUAUUAAUCUAUAAUUAUAAUAGUAACUUUGCACAUA
Triticum dicoccoides is the source of this 1350-nucleotide long non-coding RNA. RefSeq lists it as uncharacterized. The record is from RefSeq and is a predicted model, not a curated record. NCBI's taxonomy places the organism in Eukaryota, Viridiplantae, Streptophyta, Magnoliopsida, Poales, Poaceae. The transcript has 2 exons.